ACGAACGCUGGCGGCGUGCCUAACACAUGCAAGUCGAACGGUUCAGGAGGCAAGAAACGAGAAGCGCGAGGCAAGAGAACAAGAGGGAUUGGUUUUUGGCCAAUUUCAGCUAAGGAGAUUUGCUUCAUGCGUCUGGUUUCUUGUCUCCUGGAUAGUGGCGGACGGGUGAGUAACGCGUGGGUAACCUGCCUAUCAGAAAGGGAUAACACCGGGAAGCUGGUGUUAAUACCAGAUACGCUUUAGAGGAGGCAUCUUCUUUAAAGGAAAGGACAACCGCUGAUAGAUGGGCCCGCGUCCCAUUAGCUAGUUGGUAGGGUAGAGGCCUACCAAGGCGACGAUGGGUAGCCG
RNAcentral lists this ribosomal RNA (348 nucleotides) under uncultured bacterium. RNAcentral describes it as "bacterial SSU rRNA". It matches the Rfam family "Bacterial small subunit ribosomal RNA", at positions 29 to 289 of the family's 1533-position model. The record is from RNAcentral.